This is a small nucleolar RNA of Talpa occidentalis (Iberian mole), 102 nucleotides long. RefSeq annotates it as small nucleolar RNA U13. The transcript has a single exon. The record is from RefSeq and is a predicted model, not a curated record. NCBI's taxonomy places the organism in Eukaryota, Metazoa, Chordata, Mammalia, Eulipotyphla, Talpidae.
UUCCUUUUCUGGUUCGUAAGCAUGAUGACUGGGUGUUCAUGCCGUUGUAAGAUAUGCCUCCCUCAUACCUUGUUACGAUGCCAGCACAUUACCCUUUUGACA